CCUGCUUUGACAGAAUCACGUUAAUCACUCCAACAGGACUGCAGCCACCAUUUCAUCAGACUGCUACCACCACCCUGCCCAACGGGGUGUCAGAACAGAAUUUCCCAUCCCCAAACCUUUGCCACAUGGAGGAGGAGGCUGCAAGGACAAGGAAGGAGCCCUGGGACACCCAGGCAGACAAGGAGCUAAGGAUGGAGACCAGGGAGGACAAAUCCCCACGGCAGAACCUCAUGGCAGAGGCCGUUUUGAGCAGCUCCAUGGCACAGGAAUCCAAUGGGGAGGAAAAUCCCCGGAGAUCCCGCAGGAGGAGGGGCUCCAAGC
Molecule: long non-coding RNA, 321 nt
Organism: Vidua chalybeata
Lineage: Eukaryota; Metazoa; Chordata; Aves; Passeriformes; Viduidae
Exons: 3
Source: RefSeq, a predicted model, not a curated record